GACGAACGCUGGCGGCGUGCCUAAUACAUGCAAGUAGAACGCUGAAGGAGGAGCUUGCUCUUCUGGAUGAGUUGCGAACGGGUGAGUAACGCGUAGGUAACCUGCCUGGUAGCGGGGGAUAACUAUUGGAAACGAUAGCUAAUACCGCAUAACAGUAGAUGUUGCAUGACAUUUGCUUAAAAGGUGCAAUUGCACCACUACCAGAUGGACCUGCGUUGUAUUAGCUAGUUGGUGGGGUAACGGCUCACCAAGGCGACGAUACAUAGCCGACCUGAGAGGGGGAUCGGCCACACUGGGACUGGGACACGGCCCAGACUCCUACGGGGGGCAGCAGGAGGGAAUCUUCGGCAAUGGACGGAAGUCUGACCGAGCAACGCCGCGUGAGUGAAGAAGGUUUUCGGAUCGUAAAGCUCUGUUGUAAGAGAAGAACGAGUGUGAGAGUGGAAAGUUCACACUGUGACGGUAUCUUACCAGAAAGGGACGGCUAACUACGUG
This 495-nucleotide ribosomal RNA is filed under the name uncultured bacterium. Its description in RNAcentral is "partial 16S ribosomal RNA". It matches the Rfam family "Bacterial small subunit ribosomal RNA", at positions 28 to 507 of the family's 1533-position model. The record is from RNAcentral.